This is a long non-coding RNA of Ruditapes philippinarum (Manila clam), 642 nucleotides long. RefSeq lists it as uncharacterized. The record is from RefSeq and is a predicted model, not a curated record. The transcript is spliced from 4 exons. NCBI's taxonomy places the organism in Eukaryota, Metazoa, Mollusca, Bivalvia, Venerida, Veneridae.
AUAAUGUUAACCACAUGUUAAAUCCAAUACUGGAUGGGCGGAUAAGGCAAAUGCUUUUCAUUUCUAAAUUAUAUCAGUUUAGGUAAUAAAGACUAGAGACAACUGAACAAAAACAAAAGAAAUGGUCAACAUGAGUUUGAAUCAGACACAACAAUUAGAGAGACGCAACAUUAAGAAAUCGUAAAGAUGUUGAUCACAAUUGUUGUGUUAUUCGUUCUCUGCUGGCUUCCACUUCAUACCUUUUUUCAGGUGCUAAACUUUACAGAAAAACUGGACCACGACUCUCUUAGCCUUACCUACUUUAUAUGUCACUUGAUAGCAAUGUCUAACAGCUUUGUCAAUCCAAUCGUAUAUGGAACACUCAACGACAGUUUUAGAGCGGAUUUAAAACAACUUAUAUUCCUCGAACAAGAGCGGAAACAGCACGACACGGAGCCGUAAAACUUAAGUAUCCGGCAGAGAGAUAUAAAUUGAACUUUAACACAAAGAGACCUGCACAGAGAUUAAACUAUCAAAGUCAAAGAAGCUAUGAGGCCAAUAAUUUUGAGGACUGUUUUAAUUCAUCGUUUUCCAGAAAUGCUUCCGUGAUGAGAACAUAUGAUACCUCAUGAUAUGAAAUUUUGAUAUGUUCCUUGUGAUAUA